RNAcentral lists this RNase P RNA (393 nucleotides) under Acidiphilium sp. RNAcentral describes it as "RNase P RNA component class A". It matches the Rfam family "Bacterial RNase P class A". From Rfam's summary of the family: Ribonuclease P (RNase P) is a ubiquitous endoribonuclease, found in archaea, bacteria and eukarya as well as chloroplasts and mitochondria. The record is from RNAcentral. Lineage: Bacteria; Pseudomonadati; Pseudomonadota; Alphaproteobacteria; Acetobacterales; Acidocellaceae. RNAcentral also lists the same sequence under 1 other name.
CCAGACGGCCGGGCAGCCGCUGUCGUGAUCCAAUCACGAUGGAGGAAAGUCCGGGCUCCACGGAACAACGGUGCCGGCUAACGGCCGGCGGGGGCGACCCCAGGGAUAGUGCCACAGAAAACAAACCGCCCGCGCGCGCAAGCCCGCAGGCAAGGGUGAAACGGUGCGGUAAGAGCGCACCGCGCGACCGGUAACGGUCGCGGCAGGGUAAACCCCACCGGGAGCAAGACCGAAUAGGGGUGGCCGGCGGCGUGAGCAAUCAUGGCCGCAGGGAUGUUUCGGCCCGCCGCCCGGGUUGGUCGCGCGAGGUGCGCAGCAAUGCGCAUCCCAGAGGAAUGGCUGCCCCGUGCGGCAACGCACGGACAAAACCCGGCUUACAGGCCGUCUGGUAUU